GUCGCAAGACCAAAGAGGGGGACCUUCGGGCCUCUUGCCAUCGGAUGUGCCCAGAUGGGAUUAGCUAGUAGGUGGGGUAACGGCUCACCUAGGCGACGAUCCCUAGCUGGUCUGAGAGGAUGACCAGCCACACUGGAACUGAGACACGGUCCAGACUCCUACGGGAGGCAGCAGUGGGGAAUAUUGCACAAUGGGCGCAAGCCUGAUGCAGCCAUGCCGCGUGUAUGAAGAAGGCCUUCGGGUUGUAAAGUACUUUCAGCGGGGAGGAAGGGAGUAAAGUUAAUACCUUUGCUCAUUGACGUUACCCGCAGAAGAAGCACCGGCUAACUCCGUGCCAGCAGCCGCGGUAAUACGGAGGGUGCAAGCGUUAAUCGGAAUUACUGGGCGUAAAGCGCACGCAGGCGGUUUGUUAAGUCAGAUGUGAAAUCCCCGGGCUCAACCUGGGAACUGCAUCUGAUACUGGCAAGCUUGAGUCUCGUAGAGGGGGGUAGAAUUCCAGGUGUAGCGGUGAAAUGCGUAGAGAUCUGGAGGAAUACCGGUGGCGAAGGCGGCCCCCUGGAC
This 561-nucleotide ribosomal RNA is filed under the name Escherichia coli. RNAcentral describes it as "bacterial SSU rRNA". It matches the Rfam family "Bacterial small subunit ribosomal RNA", at positions 173 to 734 of the family's 1533-position model. Lineage: Bacteria; Pseudomonadati; Pseudomonadota; Gammaproteobacteria; Enterobacterales; Enterobacteriaceae. The record is from RNAcentral.